Gasterosteus aculeatus aculeatus (three-spined stickleback) is the source of this 858-nucleotide long non-coding RNA. The record is from Ensembl. Lineage: Eukaryota; Metazoa; Chordata; Actinopteri; Perciformes; Gasterosteidae.
UUUUUUUAAACUGGACAGGACAGGAUACAGAACAUAACCAGAUUUUGUUUCUGACUAAUUUUCUAAAACAUAUGUUGAUGAGGUUUUUGUGUUCAUUUUAUAGAAGUUGCUAAGAGAAGGUGUUUCGAUGCUUCUUUUGCAUCACCAAGACUGACAUCUGGAGGAUAAAGCCAAGAGCUGCAAGUGUUUCAGACUUCUUUUCUUCUUGGAAUUCUGAGGAAUUUGCUUUUUGGAAACACUAAUGAACCCCUUGCGUGUCCUUUGCGUGCCCUUUUCACACCUCCCUGCGCGCGCCGACCCAUUUUUUCUAGGUGACGCACGCGACGCAAGCCAUUGGUCCGCUAACUACGUCCUUUACGGAGUCUCACAUUUCCGUUUUCAUAGCACAAUACCGCCAUUAUUAAAACGAAUAAUGUUUUACGAGAGAACGGAGCAGAUUGAAGAACUUUUGUCGGAAGAAAUGCUCUACCCGGGAAAGAGCACCGAAGCGACGGUGCACCUUCGUCGGACCUCGCGCUACGAGGAAGUCACUAAACAGGAUUGCUGUGUUGCACUUAAGGUGGCAGAGUCGUCUGCAGGAGAACAUCUGAAAUGGGAUUCUUGGAGAACAACAGAUUGCCAAUGUCACGUCUGGCAACCAUCACAUUUUAAUGCAAACAUUAAUAUCAAGCUGGACUUGUUUCACUGCAUGAGGCGGUUCCUCCGUGAGUGUGUGUCGGUGGCAUCCCGCCCAGUACAGUUCCUUUGCUCAGUUCCUCUGGACUGGGACAAGCACAACAGCAAGACAGAUCACACCCAGGCCCCGAAUCCACCAGUCUUUCAUGAGCUUUUAAUGAAAGUUUAUAUUUAUUAUACAAG